This 73-nucleotide transfer RNA is filed under the name Camelus bactrianus (Bactrian camel). It matches the Rfam family "tRNA". Rfam says of the family: Transfer RNA (tRNA) molecules are approximately 80 nucleotides in length. Their secondary structure includes four short double-helical elements and three loops (D, anti-codon, and T loops). The record is from Rfam by way of RNAcentral. RNAcentral also lists the same sequence under 2 other names. Lineage: Eukaryota; Metazoa; Chordata; Mammalia; Artiodactyla; Camelidae.
GAGGAUAUAGCUCAAGUGGUAGAGCGCAUGCUUAGCAUGCACAAGGUCCUGGGUUCAAUCCCCAGUAUCUGCU